GAUCCCAAUGCUAGUGCUUAUGAUGAAAUUUCAUGAGGGAUCUUAGGGUCAAAAUUGGGGUCUUACAGUACUCAAUUAGAAAAUCAAACCAACUAAGUUCAAAUCAUAAUAACUUGUCAUUCAAAUCAAACUAAACAGUUAUAAUUUAUUUAGAAUCGAAUAGAACCAAAAUUAUUGGUUUGAUAUAAUAAUUUGGAAUAUCGAACCGUACCAAAGACAAUUUUUUAAAACUAAAUUAUUUUUUAAAGAACCGAAUCGUUAUAUUAUUUUUUGAUUUUU
Molecule: long non-coding RNA, 279 nt
Filed under: Lathyrus oleraceus (garden pea)
Lineage: Eukaryota; Viridiplantae; Streptophyta; Magnoliopsida; Fabales; Fabaceae
Description: Pisum sativum (pea) long non-coding RNA (PSAT_LNC008006)
Source: RNAcentral